GACGAACGCUGGCGGCGUGCUUAACACAUGCAAGUCGAACGGAUUCCUUUCGGGUAGCAAUACCUGGGAGGGGUUAGUGGCGAACGGGUGAGUAACACGUGAGAAACCUGCCUCGAAGACGGGGAUAACAGUCGGAAACGACUGCUAAUACCCGAUGCCUUCACCGGACCGCAUGGCCUGGUGAAGAAAUGGAUUCCGCUUCGAGAGGGUCUCGCGGGCUAUCAGCUUGUUGGUGAGGUAACGGCUCACCAAGGCGGCGACGGCUAGCUGGUCUGAGAGGACGACCAGCCACACUGGGACUGAGACACGGCCCAGACUCCUACGGGAGGCAGCAGUGGGGAAUCUUGCGCAAUGGGCGAAAGCCUGACGCAGCAACGCCGCGUGGGGGACGAAGGCUUUCGGGUUGUAAACCCCUUUCAGCAGGAACGAAAUUGACGGUACCUGCAGAAGAAGCCCCCGGCUAACUACGUGCCAGCAGCCGCGGUAAU
RNAcentral lists this ribosomal RNA (488 nucleotides) under uncultured bacterium. Its description in RNAcentral is "bacterial SSU rRNA". It matches the Rfam family "Bacterial small subunit ribosomal RNA", at positions 28 to 524 of the family's 1533-position model. The record is from RNAcentral.